GAUGAACGCUGACAGAAUGCUUAACACAUGCAAGUCUACUUGAAUUUGGGUUUUUAACUUAGAUUUGGGUGGCGGACGGGUGAGUAACGCAUAAAGAACUUGCCUCACAGCUAGGGACAACAUUUAGAAAUGAAUGCUAAUACCUAAUAUUAUGAUAAUAGGGCAUCCUAUAAUUAUGAAAGCUAUAUGCGCUGUGAGAGAGCUUUGCGUCCCAUUAGCUAGUUGGAGAGGUAACGGCUCACCAAGGCGAUGAUGGGUAGCCGGCCUGAGAGGGUGAUCGGCCACAAGGGGACUGAGACACGGCCCUUACUCCUACGGGAGGCAGCAGUGGGGAAUAUUGGACAAUGGACCGAGAGUCUGAUCCAGCAAUUCUGUGUGCACGAUGAAGUUUUUCGGAAUGUAAAGUGCUUUCAGUUGGGAAGAAAGAAAUGACGGUACCAACAGAAGAAGUGACGGCUAAAUACGUGCCAGCAGCCGCGGUAAUACGUAUGUCACGAGCGUUAUCCGGAUUUAUUGGGCGUAAAGCGCGUCUAGGUGGUUAUAUAAGUCUGAUGUGAAAAUGCAGGGCUCAACUCUGUAUUGCGUUGGAAACUGUAUAACUAGAGUACUGGAGAGGUAAGCGGAACUAUAAGUGUAGAGGUGAAAUUCGUAGAUAUUUGUAGGAAUGCCGAUGGGGAAGCCAGCUUACUGGACAGAUACUGACGCUGAAGCGCGAAAGCGUGGGUAGCAAACAGG
Molecule: ribosomal RNA, 735 nt
Filed under: uncultured Fusobacterium sp.
Lineage: Bacteria; Fusobacteriati; Fusobacteriota; Fusobacteriia; Fusobacteriales; Fusobacteriaceae
Description: bacterial SSU rRNA
Rfam family: Bacterial small subunit ribosomal RNA
Source: RNAcentral